This 760-nucleotide long non-coding RNA is filed under the name Chloebia gouldiae (Gouldian finch). RNAcentral describes it as "Erythrura gouldiae (Gouldian finch) lncRNA (ENSEGOG00005018967.1)". Lineage: Eukaryota; Metazoa; Chordata; Aves; Passeriformes; Passeridae. The record is from RNAcentral.
GUAUAGUCAGGGAGAAGAAACACUCGUCUGUGUUAUUCAAACCCCUUCUUCACUUGCAGUUUUCCUUCCUGAGCUAACUGAGCCUCUUGUGAGCAGGGAGGCAGGCAGGGGUUGGUGAGGAGCACAGUCGGUGUGGGGUGUUGCAGAGUGAGAACUGCAGCACCGAGUUUAUUAACUGGUGCCUGAGUUAAUGCCCAGCAAGAGAUAGGAAAGAAGAAAUAUUUAAUAUUUCUCCGUAGUGCCACUGCUGGUGUUUCCAAUACUGAGAGAUGCCCUGUCAUCGCGCUCAGGAUUAAGGUGUUGCAGCCCCAGUGCCAGCCCGGAUAAUGCAGAGUGAUUGCUGGGCUGAAUGAAUUCUGACACAGCCGCCCUGACUUCAGCAGAGCUGCACGGGCGGUGGGUUUGGCCCGUGCAUCCCAUUGUUAUGUGGAAAUUGUCAGCAGUUUCAGGGUCAGGAAAAUAUUCCAGCAACAUUGAAAGGAUCAUCUUGCUUGAUGUAUGCAGUGAUUAUGCAGCAUUCUGCAGGUUUCAAACUUUAUCUGAAUAAAUGUGCAGAUGUUAUGGGGAGAAGAACCACCAAACCCACACAAAACAAGAUUUGAUAAUACCUCUAAUUUAACUGCUGAUAGGACUUUUGAAGGUUCUGGUAAAUUCCUGGGCUCUGUAAUUCAAAAAAAAAGGAAAAAAUAGGUCCUUGGCCUUGUCCAAAUAAUGAUAAACAAAAGCACGAAUGCCAUAAAUAAAUUUAUAUUAUUUAACA